RNAcentral lists this ribosomal RNA (700 nucleotides) under uncultured bacterium. RNAcentral describes it as "bacterial SSU rRNA". It matches the Rfam family "Bacterial small subunit ribosomal RNA", at positions 94 to 825 of the family's 1533-position model. The record is from RNAcentral.
AGUGGCGGACGGGUGAGUAACACGUAAGAAUUUGCCUUUAGGAGGGGGAUAACAACUGGAAACGGUUGCUAAUACCCCAUAUGCUUUCGAGUGAAAUGGAUUUCCGCCUAAAGAGAAGCUUGCGGCUGAUUAGCUUGUUGGUGAGGUAAUGGCUCACCAAGGCGACGAUCAGUAUCUGGUUUGAGAGGACGAUCAGACACACUGGAACUGAGACACGGUCCAGACUCCUACGGGAGGCAGCAGUGGGGAAUUUUCCGCAAUGGGCGAAAGCCUGACGGAGCAAUACCGCGUGAGGGAUGAAGGCCUAUGGGUUGUAAACCUCUUUUUUCAGGGAGGAACAAAAUGACGUGUACCUGAAGAAUAAGCAUCGGCUAACUCCGUGCCAGCAGCCGCGGUAAGACGGGGGAUGCAAGUGUUAUCCGGAAUCACUGGGCGUAAAGCGUCUGUAGGUGGUUAAGUAAGUCAACCGUUAAAUCUUGAGGCUUAACCUCAAAAUCGCAGUCGAAACUGCUUGACUAGAGUAUAGUAGGGGUAAAGGGAAUUUCCAGUGGAGCGGUGAAAUGCGUAGAUAUUGGAAAGAACACCGAUGGCGAAGGCACUUUACUGGGCUAUUACUAACACUGAGAGACGAAAGCUAGGGUAGCAAAUGGGAUUAGAUACCCCAGUAGUCCUAGCUGCAAACAAUGGAUACUAGAUGUUG